Molecule: microRNA precursor, 98 nt
Filed under: Dipodomys ordii (Ord's kangaroo rat)
Lineage: Eukaryota; Metazoa; Chordata; Mammalia; Rodentia; Heteromyidae
Description: miRNA (ENSDORG00000020491.2)
Rfam family: mir-1298 microRNA precursor family
Source: RNAcentral
GAGGAGUUAAGAGUUCAUUCGGCUGUCCAGAUGUAUCCAAGUACCCAGUUAUUUGGCAAUAAAUACAUCUGGGCAACUGAUUGAACUUUUCGCUUUUC